UGGGGAAUAUUGGACAAUGGGCGAAAGCCUGAUCCAGCCAUGCCGCGUGUGUGAAGAAGGUCUUCGGAUUGUAAAGCACUUUAAGUUGGGAGGAAGGGUUGUAGAUUAAUACUCUGCAAUUUUGACGUUACCGACAGAAUAAGCACCGGCUAACUCUGUGCCAGCAGCCGCGGUAAUACAGAGGGUGCAAGCGUUAAUCGGAAUUACUGGGCGUAAAGCGCGCGUAGGUGGUGAGUUAAGUUGGAUGUGAAAUCCCCGGGCUCAACCUGGGAACUGCAUUCAAAACUGACUGACUAGAGUAUGGUAGAGGGUGGUGGAAUUUCCUGUGUAGCGGUGAAAUGCGUAGAUAUAGGAAGGAACACCAGUGGCGAAGGCGACCACCUGGACUGAUACUGACACUGAGGUGCGAAAGCGUGGGGAGCAAACA
RNAcentral lists this ribosomal RNA (427 nucleotides) under uncultured bacterium. RNAcentral describes it as "partial 16S ribosomal RNA". It matches the Rfam family "Bacterial small subunit ribosomal RNA", at positions 355 to 774 of the family's 1533-position model. The record is from RNAcentral.